AACGAACGCUGGCGGCAUGCCUAACACAUGCAAGUCGAACGAGACCUUCGGGUCUAGUGGCGCACGGGUGCGUAACGCGUGGGAACCUGCCCUUAGGUUCGGAAUAACUCCCCGAAAGGGGUGCUAAUACCGGAUAAUGUCUUCGGACCAAAGAUUUAUCGCCUUUGGAUGGGCCCGCAUGGGAUUAGCUAGUUGGUAGGGUAAAAGCCUACCAAGGCGACGAUCCAUAGCUGGUCUGAGAGGAUGAUCAGCCACACUGGGACUGAGACACGGCCCAGACUCCUACGGGAGGCAGCAGUGGGUAAUAUUGGACAAUGGGCGAAAGCCUGAUCCAGCAAUGCCGCGUGAGUGAUGAAGGCCUUAGGGUUGUAAAGCUCGUUUACCCGGGAUGAGAAUGACAGUACCGGGAGAAUAAGCUCCGGCUAACUCCGUG
Molecule: ribosomal RNA, 433 nt
Filed under: uncultured bacterium
Lineage: Bacteria
Description: partial 16S ribosomal RNA
Rfam family: Bacterial small subunit ribosomal RNA
Source: RNAcentral